ACGAAGCGCCGUGACACGAACACAACAUACACAAAUAUGGACACCUGUUAAACAGCAGCAUGUAACAAGAGUGAUGACGUGACAGCGGUGUUCAAGCUGAUCGUUCUCUGCAGAAAUUUCAACGCGAAAUUAUAAAUGAGGUUGAGGUCAAUGCACUCGUAAACAUCGAGAAUUCUAAGAACAGAACAGUCUUCUAUUCAGGCUGCCGUUCGCUUGCGAACAGGCGUGGGUGCACACUGUCAUCAAGGAUAUCAACUUCAUUCGUUCUCUGAUAUACUGUUCUUGAUCCUUCUCCGCGCCGGGAACUUUUGUUCAAAAGUACGAUGACCUCUGCGUGCAUUGCUUAAUCAAUGAAGCAUGAUCAAGCAUUAUAAAGAACCCAUACAUAAGCGACACUUAUGUAUAAAUGUGUCGGUCACGACUGUAUAUAGAGUGCCCAUUAAAAGAUCGUUAGACAAUUAGGCUGCUGAGCUUAUUACAAAUCAUAAAAUAACGAUUAUAUAAAGUUGAAAAUUUAAACUGAAUCUCCUUGAAUAACUAAAGUUAAAAUAUAUAACUACACUUGUAUAGAUUAUUUUUUACAAUGGGCAAUUUUACAAUUGCAAAGAUUCACAAGUAAAUAUUUUUAAUUAAAUGAUUCCUGAAAAAUAAUUUAAAAAAUUUCAUUUAAAAAAUAAGAAUUAUAUUAGACAUAGAAGACCAAGAGAAUAUAACAACACAUAUAUAAAUAAUUUCAAGGCACAUUAUGAUCUGGAAUCACAAAACCUAACAGUUUUUUCUCAGAUUCAACAUGUAAGUCUUGAUUUUUCCAAAGCUCUGAGCAUCCAACGUAACAAAAUAUGUCUAAUUUAUUUACAUUUAUGUUUAUUUUAUUCUAAGGAAUUUUAAUUAAUUUUACAUAUGUUUUUUGUUGUUUUCAUUUCUUUUAUAUUCAAAUAUCUCAAGAGAAUACAAACCGAAGCUAGACUUAUAUUUUAAGAGAUGUACACAUUGAUAGCUGAUAUCUUCUUGUGCACCUCAUAAUAUCAAUGAAAACUAUAAUAAUUCUUACUCAAGUACAAUACAUCAUAUGAUACAUUAUCGCAAUAUGAUAAAAAAUGAGUGUGUGAGUGACAUUGUAUCCUGCACAGUAUGUAAGAUAAUAAAGUUAUCGAAGUGUGAUUGCAAACUAUUAGUCAGUUCUGUAUAUUACAAUCAUACAUUUUGCAACUCGUCUCGACAUAUAGAAAUAUCAAGUCUAAA
Cataglyphis hispanica is the source of this 1242-nucleotide long non-coding RNA. RefSeq lists it as uncharacterized. The record is from RefSeq and is a predicted model, not a curated record. NCBI's taxonomy places the organism in Eukaryota, Metazoa, Arthropoda, Insecta, Hymenoptera, Formicidae. The transcript has 2 exons.